RNAcentral lists this unclassified non-coding RNA (173 nucleotides) under uncultured Penicillium. RNAcentral describes it as "sequence contains ITS1". Lineage: Eukaryota; Fungi; Ascomycota; Eurotiomycetes; Eurotiales; Aspergillaceae. The record is from RNAcentral.
CCGAGUGAGGGCCCUCCGGGUCCAACCUCCCACCCGUGUCUAUCGUACCUUGUUGCUUCGGCGGGCCCGCCAUACGGCCGCCGGGGGGUUCCUGCCCCCGGGCCCGCGCCCGCCGGAGACAUCAUUGAACGCUGUCUGAAGAUUGCAGUCUGAGCGAAUAGCGAAAUUAGUUA